GACGAACGCUGGCGGCGUACUUAACACAUGCAAGUCGAACGGAAAGGCCCUGCUUUUGUGGGGUGCUCGAGUGGCGAACGGGUGAGUAACACGUGAGUAACCUGCCCUUGACUUUGGGAUAACUUCAGGAAACUGGGGCUAAUACCGGAUAGGAGCUCCUGCUGCAUGGUGGGGGUUGGAAAGUUUCGGCGGUUGGGGAUGGACUCGCGGCUUAUCAGCUUGCUGGUGGGGUAGUGGCUUACCAAGGCUUUGACGGGUAGCCGGCCUGAGAGGGUGACCGGCCACAUUGGGACUGAGAUACGGCCCAGACUCCUACGGGAGGCAGCAGUGGGGAAUAUUGCACAAUGGGCGGAAGCCUGAUGCAGCAACGCCGCGUGCGGGAUGACGGCCUUCGGGUUGUAAACCGCUUUCGCCUGUGACGAAGCGUGAGUGACGGUAAUGGGUAAAGAAGCACCGGCUAACUACGUG
RNAcentral lists this ribosomal RNA (468 nucleotides) under uncultured bacterium. RNAcentral describes it as "partial 16S ribosomal RNA". It matches the Rfam family "Bacterial small subunit ribosomal RNA", at positions 28 to 507 of the family's 1533-position model. The record is from RNAcentral.